ACGCACGCUGGCGGCGUGCUUCACACAUGCAAGUCGAACGGAAAGGCCCUGCUUUUGUGGGGUGCUCGAGUGGCGAACGGGUGAGUAACACGUGAGUAACCUGCCCUUGACUUUGGGAUAACUUCAGGAAACUGGGGCUAAUACCGGAUAGGAGCUCCUGCUGCAUGGUGGGGGUUGGAAAGUUUCGGCGGUUGGGGAUGGACUCGCGGCUUAUCAGCUUGUUGGUGGGGUAGUGGCUUACCAAGGCUUUGACGGGUAGCCGGCCUGAGAGGGUGACCGGCCACAUUGGGACUGAGAUACGGCCCAGACUCCUACGGGAGGCAGCAGUGGGGAAUAUUGCACAAUGGGCGGAAGCCUGAUGCAGCAACGCCGCGUGCGGGAUGACGGCCUUCGGGUUGUAAACCGCUUUCGCCUGAGACGAAGCGUGAGUGACGGUAAUGGGUAAAGAAGCACCGGCUAACUACGUG
This 467-nucleotide ribosomal RNA is filed under the name uncultured bacterium. RNAcentral describes it as "partial 16S ribosomal RNA". It matches the Rfam family "Bacterial small subunit ribosomal RNA", at positions 29 to 507 of the family's 1533-position model. The record is from RNAcentral.